UCAUUCCGCACCCAAGGCCCUUUUACAUGUUGCGUUUCUGGAAAAUAAUAUGCAGAUCUUUGUGAAAACCCUAACAGGCAAGACGAUUACUCUUGAGGUUGAGAGUUCCGACACAAUUGAUAAUGUCAAGUCCAAGAUCCAAGACAAGGAGGGCAUCCCACCGGACCAGCAGCGGCUUAUUUUCGCCGGAAAACAGUUGGAGGAUGGUAGAACCCUAGCCGACUACAACAUUCAAAAGGAGUCUACUCUGCACCUCGUCCUCCGUCUCCGUGGCGGUGGAACUUGGAGGAUUCCUUUCGUUGCUAAUCACUUGGUGAAAAAAAUUUCGCAGCUUAACCAAAAAGCGGAGAAGGAAUUGAUAAAAACUUGGUCCCGGGGUUCUACUAUUAUUCCUGAAAUGGUGGGCCAUCGGAUUGCUGUGUACAAUGGUAAGAAACACGUGCCUUUUCGUAUAUCGGAGCAGAUGGUUGGCCAUAAAUUGGGAGAACUUCGCCCUCGUCGUCAAGCAAGAAGAGAAAGAGAAGUUCAGCAGAAGAAGGGAACGAAGAAGAAAUGAGAGACAACAGGGAAACGUCAGGAAGUUUUUCUAGUUAUGAAGUUCAGGAUAAUUUCUCAUUAUGAACUAUUUCUAGUUAUGAAUAAAAUUGUGACAUUAAUGCAGUUGUGUCUUUUGCUAUUGGAUGUUCUCAAUUGGCAUUGAGAAUGAAAUCCUUGAGAUAACAUACCUUCCAGUUAGAAUGAACUUAAGUUUUUACCAUCUCACUGUUUAAAGCUUAGGUCUCUGCCCAUCUUACUUUUGUUGUAUCUUCGAAUGUAGAGAACACUGAUUAUGUUAGGAUUUUGUGUUGAAAUUAUUUUUGGCAUUCGUCUGUGAUUGGCAAUUUGUUCCAUUGAGCUAUUUCGGUUAUUUGUUGGGUUCAUUAAGUUCAUUCCUUCCAAUUUGCGUUGGAAGGUGUACUGAUUUUUUAUGGUUGUGGGAUUGUUAGAUUGUU
Molecule: long non-coding RNA, 992 nt
Filed under: Olea europaea subsp. europaea
Lineage: Eukaryota; Viridiplantae; Streptophyta; Magnoliopsida; Lamiales; Oleaceae
Source: RNAcentral